UGUCAGUGCUGUGCGUGUUCACCAGCAGAUGUCACUGUUUACAUAUAAAAUGCAAACAGCCCCCAAAGUUGGUUUUUUUUUUUUUUUUUUUUUUUUUUACCCACCUUUAUUCUAAAGCAAGACAAGCUUGUCCAUGUUUUUUUCAUAAAGCCUUAUUCAUCAUGUGGUCAUUUUUGUUCUGGGAAAUAAUGAUAUUGUUUAUCUCUUUAAAUAGCUGUACAUGUAAAGGGAACUGGUUUAUGAGAGACACUCAUUUCACAUACUAAGCUAUCCAAUCACAUCUCACUUAAAAGAUAAUUGUUGAAUACUUACAAUUUGGCCGAAACCAGCUUCCCAUGACAAAAGGUGUCCAAAAACAGCUAAAGAGCUGUGCUUCUUUAGGGGUCUUAAAACCUCUUUUGAGAGAUGACGAAUAAUAAAGCAGCUUAGAAUGUUGGAAGUUAAGUUCUAAAACUAAAAAUGAGUGUCAUACUGUUUCAGGGAGGUAAAGGCCUGUGGGGGCUGGAGCAGAUGGAAGGCUUUAGAGAAGGAAGCCCCGAGAUAACGAGGGUGAAUUUGUCUGGUUGGGAGCGGAAAGGUACUGUGGGUUUUUGGGGUUUUUUUGUUUUGCUUUUUAUGUUUUGGGGUUCUUUUGCUGAGAGAAUAAAGGGCAAUUAUGUUUGGAGGAUCUAUUUGAUGGACUCAUGAAAAGCAAAAUGGAGGGGGCUGAUGUUAUUACAAAAUCCAGCUGUGAGAACAGGAACUCCUGCACUGGUAACUAGAAAUAAAUUCAGAUUGGGAGGCAUAAGGAAGACAAGACCGCCGUGCCAGCUUAUUGACAGGUAUAGUCACUAUGUCUUUUUGUCUUCUCAGUCCAAAAUCAAGAUACAAGCAUUGACACAUGGUCAGACACUAAAACAGAAGGUUUGAAAGCAGGGCUGUUUGCAGAAACUCCAGGACAUAUGGAUGCUGCAUAUAUGCAGAGGAGAGAGUGACUUGAAUCUCAUGAACCUGUGGGGUAACAAUGGUGCUGCCACUGAGGGAAAUGGAAAACCUGGGCAGGAAGGUUGGCUUGCACAGAAAGAUGUUUCUAGUCUGAUCCAUGUUGUUGAAGCUGAUUGUGGGCCACGGCAUGAUUGGCAAGGCUGGAAGCUAUUCAGGAGCCACUGACCUAGAAGUGGAAACGACGAUAGGGAGGCGAGAGAGAAGGGCCAGGGUGUAGCCAUCACGGUUUGUGUCUUAAGAAGCCAGCUCAUUUUAUUAAAUUGCAUACAUCAGUCAGUAACAUCCAGGAAAGAAGAGAACUGGAAACCUCCGCCUGGUGUGGUGUACUCUUAAGCAUGCAAGUUUCCGCUGACUCUGCACCCUCUCUGCCUUCACAUCGUGGGAAUUCAUGACCGGACCCUUCAGCCUGCACGCCUCCACCUAUCCUAGGGUUUCAUCAUCGUUACUCGGGACUCUCAAACAUCUGUCCAUCAAUCAAUGAGCUGCCCAUCAUACUUGCUCACCCCUUCCAGUCUCUGGGAAAGCAACCUGUUAUCCAACGUGGAAGGUCUUGUUCUUGAUAAGGUGUCAGGAGAGGCCUGGGGUCAUAGGACCAGACUGCAAACAACACAAUCCCAGAAUAAAUCCUACUAAUUUGGCAUAAUUGAUGAAAAUGAAGAUCAGAUAUUCGACCAGAGAUGAGAAAUUCAUGAGCAUGAAUGCUGCAGCUCUGAUUACUUUGCAUAUGAAUGUGUGAAAAGUGCAGGCUUGUGCAAUGAUUUUUCAGAUGAAAUGAAAGCAGGAUGAGGAUGUGAGCCCUGAGUACUUGUGACUUUUAGACCAAAGUCCUUGGCAUCAGCCAGCACUGCAGGAUGGAGCAGGUGAGGUUCAGCAACCCUGUGAAGGGAGGCUAGGGUAUUACUGGCGCCCUUUAAAAGCAGACUGAGUGCAUAAACUCUCACUAGACUGCAAGCGAGUGAGCAGCCCCGGGAAAGCCCAGAUGAGCUAUUGUGCCUUCCUUGGCUUCCCCACCUUCUGUUGUGCUAGGAAGGGCUGGGGAGCCUGUCUGUGGCAGUCGGACAUCCCUUCCCUGGCCCCUCUAGAGAUGGAUGCUACCUCCUUUUAGGAAGUGUGUGGGAGGGGACCGAUUUGCAAAGGUUCGCUCGUGCUCAGUCCCUGCUAGGAUGAUCAAGCUCUUUUCAAAACUCAGGGGUUGGGCUUUUGCGGUUUCUGCAUAGAACAGGCACUUAAAUAUCUGUGGAAUUUAUGAACGACUUCAUGCAUGCAUUUGGUCCUGUAUUCUGGUCCAAACAGAAGAUACGGUAGGUAGACAAAUACCACCAGCUACGGUAGGUAGACAAAUACCACCUCCUAUGGUAGGGAGACAAAUACCACCUCCCCCCACAAAGACGUUUCUGUCCCAAUCCCUGGAACCUGUGCAUGCUAGUUGAUUUGGAAAAAGGGUCUUCACAGAUGUGAUUAAGUCAAGGGUCUUGAGAUGGGAAGAUCAUGCUGCAUUAUCUGGUAGACCCUAAAGACAAUCGCAUGUAUCCCUGUAAGAAAGAAACAGAUAUUUAACUACCUACAGAAGAGGAGAAGGUGAUGUAAAGGUAGAGGCAGAGUGCUACAGACGGAAUGUUUGUGCCCCCCUGCCCCCCCCAACACACACAAGUUCAUAUAUUGAAACCUAACCCUAAUGUGAUGGUUUUAGGAGGUGGGCUUUUGGGAAGUGGGAAGUGAUUAGGUUAUGAGGGCAGGGUCCUCAUGAAUGGGACGAGUGCCUUUUUCAAGAGGCCCCAGAGAGCUCCCUUGCCCUUCCACCGUGUGAGGAUGACCAUCUACGAACCAGGAAACAGGCCCUCACCAGAGACUGAAUCUACUGGCAUUUUUGAUCUAACAUUUCCCAGCCUCCAGAACUGUGAGAAAUAAAUUUCUGUUGUUUAUUAGCUA
Molecule: non-coding RNA, 2913 nt
Organism: Macaca mulatta (Rhesus monkey)
Lineage: Eukaryota; Metazoa; Chordata; Mammalia; Primates; Cercopithecidae
Source: RefSeq, a predicted model, not a curated record